This 74-nucleotide microRNA precursor is filed under the name Pongo abelii (Sumatran orangutan). RNAcentral's name for it is "miRNA". The record is from RNAcentral. Lineage: Eukaryota; Metazoa; Chordata; Mammalia; Primates; Hominidae.
CAGACUAUAUAUUUAGGUUGGCCUUUAUUUUCAACGGCAAAAACCUCAGUUGCUUUUGUGCCAACCUAAUACUU